RNAcentral lists this ribosomal RNA (277 nucleotides) under uncultured bacterium. Its description in RNAcentral is "partial 16S ribosomal RNA". It matches the Rfam family "Bacterial small subunit ribosomal RNA", at positions 76 to 353 of the family's 1533-position model. The record is from RNAcentral.
UCAAACUGAAGAUGGCGACCGGCGCACGGGUGAGUAACACGUAUCCAACCUGCCGAUGACUCGGGGAUAGCCUUUCGAAAGAAAGAUUAAUACCCGAUGGCAUAGUUCUUCCGCAUGGUGGAACUAUUAAAGAAUUUCGGUCAUCGAUGGGGAUGCGUUCCAUUAGGUUGUUGGCGGGGUAACGGCCCACCAAGCCUUCGAUGGAUAGGGGUUCUGAGAGGAAGGUCCCCCACGUUGGAACUGAGACACGGUCCAAACUCCUACGGGAGGCAGCAUG